CCUACGGGAGGCAGCAGUAGGGAAUAUUGCUCAAUGGGGGAGACCCUGAAGCAGCAACGCCGCGUGGGGGAUGAAGGUUUUCGGUUUGUUAACUCCUUUUUUUAGAGAAGAUAAUGACGGUAUCUAACGAAUAAGCACCGGCUAACUCCGUGCCAGCAGCCGCGGUACUACGGGGGGUGCAAGCGUUACGCGGAAUCACUGGGCGUAAAGGGCGCGUAGGCGGGUUAGCAAGUGAGAUGUGAAAUGCUAUGGCUUAACCAUAGAACUGCAGUUGAAACUGUUAUUCUAGAGUAUGGGAGAGGUAGGUGGAAUGCUUGGUGUAGGGGUAAAAUCCGUAGAGAUCAAGAGGAAUACUCAUUGCGAAGGCGACCUGCUAGAACAUAACUGACGCUGAUGCGCGAAAGCGUGGGGAGCAAACAGGAUUAGAUACCCUUGUAGUC
Molecule: ribosomal RNA, 440 nt
Filed under: uncultured bacterium
Lineage: Bacteria
Description: partial 16S ribosomal RNA
Rfam family: Bacterial small subunit ribosomal RNA
Source: RNAcentral